RNAcentral lists this ribosomal RNA (253 nucleotides) under uncultured bacterium. RNAcentral describes it as "partial 16S ribosomal RNA". It matches the Rfam family "Bacterial small subunit ribosomal RNA", at positions 524 to 776 of the family's 1533-position model. The record is from RNAcentral.
UACAUGGGGUGCAAACGUUGCUCGGAAUUAUUGGGCGUAAAGCGCGCGUAGGCGGUUACUCAAGUCGGAUGUGAAAGCCCUCGGCUUAACUGAGGAAGUGCACCCGAAACUGAGUAGCUAGAGUACCAAAGAGGGUCGCGGAAUUCCCGGUGUAGAGGUGAAAUUCGUAGAUAUCGGGAGGAACACCGGUGGCGAAGGCGGCGUCCUGGACCAAUACUGACACUGAAACGCGAAAGCCAGGGGAGCAAACGGG